GAUGAACGCUGGCGGCGUGCCUAAUACAUGCAAGUCGAGCGAACAGACGAGGAGCUUGCUCCUCUGACGUUAGCGGCGGACGGGUGAGUAACACGUGGAUAACCUACCUAUAAGACUGGGAUAACUUCGGGAAACCGGAGCUAAUACCGGAUAACAUGUUGAACCGCAUGGUUCAACAGUGAAAUACGGUCUUGCUGUCACUUAUUGAUGGAUCCGCGCCGCAUUAGCUAGUUGGUAAGGUAACGGCUUACCAAGGCAACGAUGCGUAGCCGACCUGAGAGGGUGAUCGGCCACACUGGAACUGAGACACGGUCCAGACUCCUACGGGAGGCAGCAGUAGGGAAUCUUCCGCAAUGGGCGAAAGCCUGACGGAGCAACGCCGCGUGAGUGAAGAAGGUCUUCGGAUCGUAAAACUCUGUUAUUAGGGAAGAACAAAUGUGUAAGUAACUAUGCACGUCUUGACGGUACCUAAUCAGAAAGCCACGGCUAACUACGUG
RNAcentral lists this ribosomal RNA (497 nucleotides) under uncultured bacterium. RNAcentral describes it as "partial 16S ribosomal RNA". It matches the Rfam family "Bacterial small subunit ribosomal RNA", at positions 28 to 507 of the family's 1533-position model. The record is from RNAcentral.